GAUGAACGCUGGCGGCGUGCCUAACACAUGCAAGUCGAGCGAUUCUCUUCGGAGAAGAGCGGCGGACGGGUGAGUAACGCGUGGGUAACCUGCCCUGUACACACGGAUAACAUACCGAAAGGUAUGCUAAUACGAGAUGAUAUAUGGAAGUUGCAUGACUUUUAUAUCAAAGCUUUUGCGGUACAGGAUGGACCCGCGUCUGAUUAGCUAGUUGGUAAGGUAACGGCUUACCAAGGCGACGAUCAGUAGCCGACCUGAGAGGGUGAUCGGCCACACUGGAACUGAGACACGGUCCAGACUCCUACGGGAGGCAGCAGUGGGGAAUAUUGCACAAUGGGCGAAAGCCUGAUGCAGCAACGCCGCGUGAGCGAUGAAGGCCUUCGGGUCGUAAAGCUYUGUCCUCAAGGAAGAUAAUGACGGUACUGAGGAGAAGCCCCG
RNAcentral lists this ribosomal RNA (438 nucleotides) under uncultured bacterium. RNAcentral's name for it is "bacterial SSU rRNA". It matches the Rfam family "Bacterial small subunit ribosomal RNA", at positions 28 to 495 of the family's 1533-position model. The record is from RNAcentral.